CUACUGGGGUAUCUAAUACUGUUUGCUCCCCACGCUUUCGCUCCUCAGCGUCAGAACAGGCCCAGAGAACCGCCUUCGCCACCGGUGUUCCUCCCGAUAUCUGCGCAUUUCACCGCUACACCGGGAAUUCCGUUCUCCCCUGCCUGCCUCCAGCCUGCCCGUAUCCACUGCAGGCCCGGGGUUAAGCCCCGGGAUUUCACAGCGGACGCAACAGGCCGCCUACGAGCUCUUUACGCCCAAUAAUUCCGGACAACGCUCGCGCCCUACGUAUUACCGCGGCUGCUGGCAC
RNAcentral lists this ribosomal RNA (289 nucleotides) under uncultured Actinomycetales bacterium. RNAcentral's name for it is "partial 16S ribosomal RNA". Lineage: Bacteria; Bacillati; Actinomycetota; Actinomycetes; Actinomycetales. The record is from RNAcentral.